Molecule: long non-coding RNA, 538 nt
Filed under: Equus caballus (horse)
Lineage: Eukaryota; Metazoa; Chordata; Mammalia; Perissodactyla; Equidae
Description: lncRNA (ENSECAG00000050947.1)
Source: RNAcentral
UUUCUUCCUUCCUUCUGCAGGGGUAGGAAGUCGUAGGCUUCCUGUUAGAGAUAAAUUUGCCGAGAAUAACUCAUCAUACAUGUGAUUCAGCGAUAUUAAAGAGAGGCCGAGAAAGUAGGAAAAGUAAACCAGUGAGAGGAGGAAGAUGGGAAAGAAGAAAGGGGAAGGAAGAAGCAAAAGGAAAAGUAAUAAAAUUAGAUCAAGAGGAGAUUAUGAAAAAGAGAGCUGAACUUGUAAAAGAAAAAAGAGGGGGAGAGACUGGAGAGCGAGGAGGAGAGAGCGAGAAAGACAUCGAAACUGAAGAAUAUUCACUUUAAACACGAGAAGGUUGACACAAGCAAGCUGCUUUUAAUUUUUAUGUUAACCCUAAAUGAAAGAGAAACUAAAAUGUGAAGGAGAAAAAGCUUCUAUUUUAGAAGCCUCAAUAUAAUACAUUUAAAGAAAUAUUUUUGUUGUAAAAUGUGUAAAUUGUUUUUGGAAUUAUCUUUUCAAACCAUGUACCUAGAUUUUCUGUAUAUAUUUUAUUAUGUGAGCACAG